UAUCUUAUACACCUUGAGCAUCAAAAUGAUGUAAGUACUGUACAAGAGCAGCACACACAGUGAUAAAUAUUCAACCAAAACUAUUCUUCUUUACUGAGGUACUUGCUCCUUGUGCCUGUCAGUGUAGACACACACACAUUUUUUUUUGAAAUUGCAUUGCUAUUUAUGAUUGUGCUUGUGGCCCAGGUCUUGAUUUGUCAGGUCCACAGAGGAGAAUCAGCAUUAGAGUCAGGACUGCAAACUCAGAUUUCUUUUCUGUGCUGAAUACUCUCUCUCUUCCUUUGUUAUGUUGGCCCAAAUAAGGAAUAUUACAGUAAAAUUAACAAAAUUAAUAUUAGUUUAAUCGUCAGUAUUUUCCAGGCAAAGGAAAUUCAGGAGAAAUACAGAAAAUAUCUUCAAUUACCUUUGUAUUUGCUUAAUAUUUUAUAAAAUAUUUUGAGACUGGAUCACCAAUAAUAAAAUUGUACAUAAAUAUAUUAAACUUGCUUUGCCACCUGUCUUGAAGUCAACACUGAAAAUUGUUCUUCCAAUUUGAGGUUAAAAAUUACAUCUAGUUCUUCAAAUAACUGCUACUUGUAUCCUUUAGUGGUUGAAAUAUAGUACAACAAAUUCAGAUCACAAUAAAUUUUAUUUUCAUCUGAGUUUCAAACAAGACCUGACUAUGAGCUGAGAAAUAAAUGCUUAUGAAUGUAUUUUGGUAUGCAGGUAUGCAAAAACGGCAACUUCUACCUUAGUUAGGCUUUUGCUCUAAUUAGCAAAACCACUGCUCUUAUUCCUUUAUGAUUAUUUCCAAACUAAUUAUUUUCAAAUGUUCAUUCCUCACUAAGAAUUAAUUACAUGUGAAGUUUGAGUUUUAAAAUUUAAGCAAUGUUUUGAACUCCACAGACAUGAAGAUUGGUGCUUCAGUCUUGCACCUAAUUCUCAGAUCUUUCUAAUCAGCUCUCAGAGUGGGCUGGACCUAUAGUGCUUACUCACUAAAAUUUCAUCCUUGGACCAAACAGAAAUAUCAGUGCGCUUUCCCAGAUGCGAUUCUUCUUUGUAUAUUGAUUUGUGUCUAUGUUAUUUACUAUAAAAUAAGAAAUCAAGCUGCUCAUAUCCGAUGUCUAAAAUCUUUUCCUUCACCAAAAUGUAUAGCAAACUUUUUGUUCUUUAUCUGUUACUGCUAGAUUGUCUGAAGUGGAUACUUUAUUUAGCACAUAAAAAGCUGUCAUUAAAUUAAACUUCUGUGGUAUCCAGGGAGAUCAUUAUGAUAGUUCUAUGUUAGGAUAUUACAUAUAUUUUCUUUGUUGUAACCAAUAGAAAGAUUCUUCUUUUGGUCUUUAUCUACGUUGCUUUGUUUAAUUAACUGAUGAAUUAUGAUAUCUCAGUAUUUUAAGAGCAAAGAAUUCUGUAUUUUCUCUCACCUUUGCACAAAGUUAAUAUGAAUCGGAAAUAAUGUCACUUUUUUUUUGUGAGAUUAGAUCCCAUAUGCACAUAUAUGAAAUGUAAUAAAUUUUAGUUAUACCUUGCUCAGAUGCUGAAAAUGCCAUUAGAAGAGUAAGGUUUAGAUGGUUGCCAAUUUUACAUUGCCUUACUGAGCUGCUUUGCUUGUAACAGCCUUUAAUUUCAGAUGGGAAAAAGCCCUGCAACAAUUCUUUAGCGAGUCAAAAUGCAAAAAUCUAAAUAGCUAAAAGAGCAUUCUUUGCUGAUUGCCCAUACCCCUGUGCUCAUCCUACAGCGCCGCCCUCACCCCCGCCCCCCGCAAUCUGGUGAAUUCUUGUACACCUCUGUGUAGCAUACUUGUAAAAUGAGGUCCUCAAGAGUCUCUCCAUUGGGAUUAUGCUAUUAUGUCAGCUAGAAAGGUAUACAGAACCUUGCUUUGCAGUGUUUAAGAUGGAUUUUAAAGGCAAAUAGUUGCUUUCUAGAAGCUUAGCAAAUAGAGUCAGAACUGCUUUUGAAUACUGGUUAGACAAGAGUCUGUUUUAGAGGGAAAGAACAGACUGUAUUAGAAAGGGUGGUGUUUCUAGGUGCACCAGAUUUUUUUUUUCUGUUGUUUGAAAGCAAUAGAAAACUAUUACUUAGGGAAAGAAAGAAAGAAGCAUUUAUGUACUCGGCUACCUAAAUGAUGCAGAAGGUGUUACUUUUGAGCACUGUAAUAUUAAACUUCACCUGCAGCACCUUUAAUUUUAUGCUCAGAAAUUCACUGUGGACUUCCAUAAUGAGAUGAAGAAAAAAAGGAAACUGGGAAAAAAAAAAAAGUCAGUACUAUAAUUUCUAAACAACUCAAUAGAAAAUUGAUUUGCAAAUACUUGUUUUGAAAACUAUGAAAGCUACUUGAAGUAUCACAAUUUUUUAAAGCACAAGUUUAGUCCUUCAUGGUACAUUCAGUAAUUUAACAUUUGAAAACAUAAAACUUGAUUGAUCUUGAUUGCUUUCCUGCAAAUGCAUUCAUUUGUGCUUGACUAUUUAUAAGUUUGGGAUAUCUUUCAGGAUGAUUCUUCUUUACAUUUUAUCAAUUCUGACUCUAAAUGCUGUUUGUAAUUGUGCCUGUAAAAACAAUUGUAUUGCUUACAGUUACUAAGCAUCAACAUCUGAGGAAUGACAUGGGUAGGAUAUAAUUUGUACAUUCUAAAUCUAUAGACUUUUAUUACAGUUAAUCAGCAAUACACAACUCAGAUUUUUAUUUUGUUUCUUUUCCUGCUUCAUCUGCUUGGACUCUGAUCUUACACUGGCAUCGAUAUGUGUUUAGCAUAAACAUUGCAAACAUUCUCAUUGAAUUCAGUUUAAAAGGUGUAGAUACUAAAGUUCAAAAAAAGAGAAUCAAUAGUGACGUUCCUAAGAAAUCAAAACAAUGUAUCUGGUUACAUCAGAUGCUAUAGUACUUGAUUUUUAAUUCCUACAUGCUUAAAUGAAUGAGCACCUAUGCAGAUGAGGCUGAGAUGCUGUUGGUACAACUCAGUGAGCUUCCAGCUGAGUGGAUGAUCUGGCUGCCCGAAUCUGUUUCAGCUGUGGGCCUAUCUUACAGUCAAGCCUAGAUACUCAAAUAGUUACACUUAAGAUUAAUUUUGAAUAUGUGCACUGUCUUGUGGAAGGUAAAUGUGUGAAAUACAGCUGGUUUGACUGCUUGCCAAUCAGAGCAAUAUAUUUGACUUUCCUUUGACUCUCUUGGAUUUUGGAUUUAUUCUGAGGUUUGUAUUUUUUAAAAAGCAGUUAGCUUCAUGUCUCUGCAAAGCUCAAUUAUAUAAGACAUUUGGAAAAAAGAACAUGAGAUUAAAUCAAUGACAAUUCAUCAUAUUAUGUCUCACUCUGACAAGCUCAAUUUUAAGAAUAUUUGCAUUUCUUAUACCUGUUUCCCUGUACUUUCCCCAGGAUGGUGCCAGCCCAGAGCGAGGGUUGCUAGUACUGUAUGCCCAUCAGAAAGGGAGAGUAAUCUUUGUUAUUUGCAAAGAAGGAAGUGGCUAACUAAGAGCAUGCACCUAAUCUCAGCCUAGAAUAACAUGAAUGUGAGGAAGUGCCUCCCCUCUCUCCUUCUAGGGUUUAGCACAUGAAUAGAAUUGCUUUUUUUUGGUAUAUCAAGUUCUCUGGCUACUUCAGAGAUUGAACCUAGUCAGGAAGGAGCAGAAUUAAAAACAGUUUUAUCCCACAUAAUGCAGCUACAACACUUAUUCUGUGUCUUUGCACUCAUGGAUUGGUUUUGAACAUACUGUUGUAGUAAUCCAGAAUGAGAUGAGGCCUCACGCUGACUACCUCUCAUGCAAUAAACCCCAAGCUCAUAUAGUAGUUAAUAUUGAUUACAGUUGAGCAUCUUUUGGCCACAUGAUUCAGGGAGGUACUAUGGGGGGAAUAGUAAUUUAAUUACUAUUUAAUUUAAUUAAGACUUUAUUCCAGUGAUGUAUGUGGUAUACACAAUAUCCAUAAUACCGACUCCAACUGAGAGAGGUCCUACAGCUUCUGGUAGGAAAUAAAGGUGAACCUGGCUUUGCUAUAGUUUAUGUUGUGCUCUAAAAUGUAACAAAAGAUGUCAUCUGUUUCCUUCAGGCUGAUCUGGACUUACCAGGAUAUUGUGUCCAAAACACACACACACGCAAUUCUAGUUAUUGAGGGAACAUGACGCUUCUUUACCUGUUGCAAUGUAGUUGGAUAAUGCAUGUACAAAUGACUUGUUUAGCCUGCCAAUGAAUGUUGCUAAUGCCUUACCAAAAAAAAAAAAAAAAG
RNAcentral lists this long non-coding RNA (4194 nucleotides) under Strigops habroptila (Kakapo). RNAcentral's name for it is "lncRNA (ENSSHBG00005002096.1)". The record is from RNAcentral. Lineage: Eukaryota; Metazoa; Chordata; Aves; Psittaciformes; Psittacidae.